AUGGACCUUUGUGAUGUGAAACCAAGGCGUGUGGUUGCAAAUGGAAAGUGUGUCUCCACUGGUCGGGUUGAAGGGUACUCCACACCACACCCUCCACCACCCGCCCACACACACCCAGCCUCUCCAGCAGCUUCAGCGGAGCUAUCAAGGCCAAGUUUGACUGCCAGGAAGGAGCUGGGAGCAGCCAAAGAGGCUGAACAUGUCAGACUUCUCUCCCAGCCUGCCACACACACUUAAAACCUAAAGGAAAUAAGCCGGGAUCAAUGGGAGGAAGGGAGCCAACCAGGUGGCUUAGGACUUGUACUGGUGAAAGGAGAGCCCACACCUCUCAAGAAUCUCCAAAGUGCUGAAGAAAUAAGACUUUUAAAAAUGUCAUGGGAAUUUUGCGAAGGCCAAGUAAGGACAUAACUGAUUCUCCAUGGUGAAAGUUUAACCAAAGUUGACAAAAACCACCACCGUCUACUAUAAAAGCGUUGUGGAUAUGUACCAAGAAGGACUUCACAUACUUGAUAUGACACUGCUGAUAGAGAAGUUAUUUCGGUGGGAAGAAUAGAACUUUAUCCUGAUAACAUCAUGAGUGUGGCUUUGAGGACCAAACAGUUCCUAAAUCCUACAGCCUAUGAUAGUUCCAUUGCUUGAUCAAGUUUAACAGUUUUUUUCUCCUUUCAUAAUGGUUUAUCACCUAGAUACAUUUUUCUACACCAUCCGAAAAGGAAAGAGAACUUCAGGGGCCAAAAAACCCACAAAGGCAGAGAAGAUAAUCAUUUGAAAGUAUUAAUGGCAGUAAGAAAAUCUUGAAAGAACAAUAGUUUUGUUUUGGUUUUUUUGGUCUGUCUCAAAGAAUGCUUUGACAAAUCUGAUCUGUGCACUUUUCCUGAGUCCCUGGCUUUGAAAUCAAAUCUGGUUUUAAUACAUAGCAGGUAUCAUCAGAGUACUUGGGUCUGUAAUUGAAGGAAAGUUGAGAUGGAGGGUGGGAAGGGAUUAGUUUGAUGCUUUCAUGGCUUGGCACAUCUGUGAAUGUUAGAAUAUAGAAGGAGAUGGAUAUCCAGGUUUAGAUCAGACCUAUCCGGAUGCAGGAGGCACAGAGUUUAGAUUGAAGGUGGCUAUUCAUCUCGAGGUUCAAAUGCUCAUCUUCCAAAGUCUGCCAAAAGGGUGUCAGCCUAUGGAGGGCAGUCUGUUUCUGUUCUUGGUCUGGUUCUUCCCUGAGCAAUAAUAAUUCCAGAAACAUAAACUCUCAUGACACAUAUCAACAUGUCUUUUUCUGAUGUUGGCCCCAAACUGGAAGUUAAACAAUCUGGCCUGAAUUCAGGGCAUCAAAAUGAAAAAAAAAAUAGACUCAAAUUCACAUAAAUUUAGCAGUUUUUUGUAAUAUAAUUCAAUUUAAAUAUUUGUAUAUAUUUAUAUAUGUACAUCCAUAUAUCCACACAUAUAUGUGUGUGUAUAUGUAUGAGGCAGCUAUUUGGCACUGUGGAUAGAGUGUUGGCCCUGGACUCAGAAACACCUGAGUUCAGAUCUGACUUCAGAUACUAAACCAGCUUUGUGACUCCGAGCAAGUCAUUAACCCUCUUUGCCUCAGUUUCUUCAUGUGUAAAAUAAGCUAGAGAAGGAAAUGGCAAACCAUCCCAGUACCUUUGCCAAGACAAAAAAAAAGAUUAAAUAUCAGCAAACAAAAAGUGCAUGAAGGGGAGCAAUAUGAAAUGACUGGGAAGGUAGAUGUGAGCCAGAUGAUGGAGUUCUUGAAAUUCUAGGUUUAUGGUUUUGUGUUUUAUUCUAAAAGCAAAAGGGAGCUGUUGUUUUUUUUUUUUUUCUGAAGGGCAGGGAGUGGGGAGGGGAUGAUGGGGGCAAAAUAGGUUUUUAGGAAUUUGUUAACUUUGUGGGAGAUAGACCAGGGGCAACGAAGCAAAUGGAGAUGAGGAGACCAAAUAUAGAUGAAUACUUUGUCAUCUGUUUUUUUCCUCCCUUUUUCAAAGAUACAUCCUUUUUGAAUUGAGUUUUUUUGUUCUUUUUCUGUACGUAGCCAAAAAUAAAACUUCUUUGCAUUGA
This is a long non-coding RNA of Monodelphis domestica (gray short-tailed opossum), 2043 nucleotides long. Lineage: Eukaryota; Metazoa; Chordata; Mammalia; Didelphimorphia; Didelphidae. The record is from Ensembl.